Molecule: long non-coding RNA, 1916 nt
Organism: Oncorhynchus keta (chum salmon)
Lineage: Eukaryota; Metazoa; Chordata; Actinopteri; Salmoniformes; Salmonidae
Exons: 5
Source: RefSeq, a predicted model, not a curated record
CCCAUGAUCAUAGAAGGCAAAUAGGUUUUAUCUGUAAUGCAUUUGUCGUGUCCUCUGUUAUACAGAUAACUGCUGCUAUACAGAUGUUGGAUCUUAAUUUGAGCCAGUUUGCUACAGCAGGAAAAUAAUCACGCAGCAACAGGGAAGGGGAAUUAUUCUGUGGAUUAUAAUUUAUGGACAUUUUUAUAGGGCUUGAUACAUUUUUCUUAAGGGAAAAUCAAGUCUGAAUUUUCAAAGUGGGAAUUACGAACUUCAGAAGCCUUUUUAAACUUCAAAUAAACCACAAGUUUUAAAUGUGCCGCAUUGCAGGAAAGUUCUCCUGCAACAGGGUGAUCAAAUGAAGAUCCUACAUCUGUAUGCAUAGUUUCUCCCUCAGUAGCAGGGCAGGGGAGGCUGACGGGGAGGGAGGGGUGAGAGGCAAACAAGGGAGCAUCACUGAAUCUGACUUUUGUUCUCUGCUUGAGGCUGGCACAGAGCAGGGCAUAGUCAUCACUUAUCACUGGUUCAGGCUGAUGCUCUCUAUCUGAAGUCAGAGAGGCAGAGAGAGGCUGUACUGACAUUGGGGGUCAUGGGAUUUUACUUCAUGGGGGCGUAUAUCUGAUAACCAGAGCCUAUACACAUAGCCCUCAUCAUGGGGGUGGGGUGAUGCUAUACGGUGGCCUGCCUGUGUCAGCUAGAAAGAACAUCCCCACUGCAGCAAUAGAUUUGCUCUCAGUCACAAGGGAGAUUUCAUGACUCCUAUUUGCAGGCUCCAAAGUGCUAUUGGCAUCAAGAGCUGUACAUACAUACAGCAUAGGGUAGGGGGCUGGAGACUGCUGCAUGACAGCAUUUGAGUGUGUGCAUGAGAGAGUUGGUGGUGUCAGUGUGGAUGUUUGGUGGAGACAGACAGACAGACAGACAGACAGACAGACAGACAGACAGACAGACAGACAGACAGACAGACAGACAGACAGACAGAGUAAUGGACAUUGGUGGUGUCAGUGUGGAUGUAUAGUGGAGACAGACAGAGAGAGAGAGUAAUGAGGGAGAAACACAGGACCAGGUCAUAGUAGACUGUGGCAGAGGGAGAAACACAGGACCAGGUCAUAGUAGACUGUGGCAGAGGGAGAAACACAGGACCAGGUCAUAGUAGACUGUGGCAGAGGGAGAAACACAGGACCAGGUCAUAGUAGACUGUGGCAGAGGGAGAAACACAGGACCAGGUCAUAGUAGACUGUGGCAGAGGGAGAAACACAGGACCAGGUCAUAGUAGACUGUGGCAGAGGGAGAAACACAGGACCAGGUCAUAGUAGACUGUGGCAGAGGGAGAAACACAGGACCAGGUCAUAGUAGACUGUGGUAGAGGGAGAAACACAGGACCAGGUCAUAGUAGACUGUGGCAGAGGGAGAAACACAGGACCAGGUCAUAGUAGACUGUGGCAGAGGGAGAAACACAGGACCAGGUCAUAGUAGACUGUGGCAGAGGGAGAAACACAGGACCAGGUCAUAGUAGACUGUGGCAGAGGGAGAAACACAGGACCAGGUCAUAGUAGACUGUGGCAGAGGGAGAAACACAGGACCAGGUCAUAGUAGACUGUGGCAGAGGGAGAAACACAGGACCAGGUCAUAGUAGACUGUGGCAGAGGGAGAAACACAGGACCAGGUCAUAGUAGACUGUGGCAGAGGGAGAAACACAGGACCAGGUCAUAGUAGACUGUGGCAGAGGGAGAAACACAGGACCAGGUCAUAGUAGACUGUGGCAGAGGGAGAAACACAGGACCAGGUCAUAGUAGACUGUGGCAGAGGGAGAAACACAGGACCAGGUCAUAGUAGACUGUGGCAGAGGGAGAAACACAGGACCAGGUCAUAGUAGACUGUGGCAGAGGGAGAAACACAGGACCAGGUCAUAGUAGACUGUGGCAGAGGGAGAAACACAG